RNAcentral lists this ribosomal RNA (1016 nucleotides) under Microbacterium sp. RNAcentral's name for it is "bacterial SSU rRNA". It matches the Rfam family "Bacterial small subunit ribosomal RNA", at positions 377 to 1403 of the family's 1533-position model. Lineage: Bacteria; Bacillati; Actinomycetota; Actinomycetes; Micrococcales; Microbacteriaceae. The record is from RNAcentral.
GGAAGCCUGAUGCAGCAACGCCGCUUGAGGGAUGACGGCCUUCGGGUUGUAAACCUCUUUUAGCAAGGAAGAAGCGAAAGUGACGGUACUUGCAGAAAAAGCGCCGGCUAACUACGUGCCAGCAGCCGCGGUAAUACGUAGGGCGCAAGCGUUAUCCGGAAUUAUUGGGCGUAAAGAGCUCGUAGGCGGUUUGUCGCGUCUGCUGUGAAAUCCCGAGGCUCAAUUUCGGGCUUGCAGUGGGUACGGGCAGACUAGAGUGCGGUAGGGGAGAUUGGAAUUCCUGGUGUAGCGGUGGAAUGCGCAGAUAUCAGGAGGAACACCGAUGGCGAAGGCAGAUCUCUGGGCCGUAACUGACGCUGAGGAGCGAAAGGGUGGGGAGCAAACAGGCUUAGAUACCCUGGUAGUCCACCCCGUAAACGUUGGGAACUAGUUGUGGGGGCCAUUCCACGGUCUCCGUGACGCAGCUAACGCAUUAAGUUCCCCGCCUGGGGAGUACGGCCGCAAGGCUAAAACUCAAAGGAAUUGACGGGGACCCGCACAAGCGGCGGAGCAUGCGGAUUAAUUCGAUGCAACGCGAAGAACCUUACCAAGGCUUGACAUACACCAGAACACCGUAGAAAUACGGGACUCUUUGGACACUGGUGAACAGGUGGUGCAUGGUUGUCGUCAGCUCGUGUCGUGAGAUGUUGGGUUAAGUCCCGCAACGAGCGCAACCCUCGUUCUAUGUUGCCAGCACGUUAUGGUGGGAACUCAUGGGAUACUGCCGGGGUCAACUCGGAGGAAGGUGGGGAUGACGUCAAAUCAUCAUGCCCCUUAUGUCUUGGGCUUCACGCAUGCUACAAUGGCCGGUACAAAGGGCUGCAAUACCGUGAGGUGGAGCGAAUCCCAAAAAGCCGGUCCCAGUUCGGAUUGAGGUCUGCAACUCGACCUCAUGAAGUCGGAGUCGCUAGUAAUCGCAGAUCAGCAACGCUGCGGUGAAUACGUUCCCGGGUCUUGUACACACCGCCCGUCAAGUC